CCCUAAGAGGUACCAAUCUCCUGUCAUACAACAAAAGCUCCCGCUGUGGACCUUUUGAGGCUGAACACCUGAAGAGUACCAAAACUACGUUUUUAACACAUAAAGGAUGCGACGAGCACCCUCGUCCUUUUUAUCAAGUGAGAAUCCCUCCGCCCCGGGGUCUGAAGUUGUUUGUUGCAACUGUCCCGAGAUUCAAACUGAACGACAUGUCAGUGUGCGAGGAAAAAUAAAUCAGAACCUAGAGAUAAACAGACACCUCCAGUUACCAUGUGUACAAUGUAAUAAGCUAACUAACCCAAUACGCUACGCUAACUAAACCAAUAUGUCACAAAGUCACAUCUGUUUAUGUGAAGUUCUCACUUCCGAGUUUCAAUUUCUUUUAUACAGCCCCAGGUAAAGAACUGCCUUUUCUAGAUAUAAUUAUUUGUACAUUGGCCACAUUCCUGCUAGACCAAAACUGCCUGAUUUCUAUACCUUAUCCCAGACUCAACGAAAACCAUACCCUUCACAGCGGCACAUACGCAUAUAGCUUAUAUUUGGGAGUACGUAUCUCCCCGGGGACAUGAAACAACUAAGUAGCUCGAUGUUUUCUAGUCUGAGGACCCAGAUAGAUUUCCGGCUUUGUCAGAUCACGCCGCCAGCGUGAAAAAAAAAAUCAGAAAAUCCGUCUGUGUUCGCACGUACGUUCGCAGGCUAGAUGUAUUCGGGCAUGAUGGCUGACCUCACAUCUAUGUUAUGGCGUUAAUUAACAUUCCUAGCUAACCUUUAUCCGACUAUACUGAAGCCUUCGUUAGGUCUAUGAUGACUGUGUAUCGGAAGAAGAAACUCUUGUAUUAUUUUGUAAAUCUUGUAAAUGUGGCAGUAAAACUGUUUACUUUGGUCUUAAAAUUUGACACCUCAAUAAAAAGCUAAUCAUGAUCCCCAAUAUAAUGGCCUUCACCAUUAGCUUGCAAAUUGCUGACUAUAAAUCUCAACUCUAACUGUUAAUGAUCAUCAUGGUCAUAUUUUUCUUUAUCAGUAUUGCUACGAAUCUAAUCUGUAGCCCACUUUAACGAUCAAGUAUAUUUUAUUAUAUCAAGGAUCAUCAAGAUGUCCAGGCCUUUUUUGUACUUCUCUCUUUUGACUCGUACACACGUCCGAUGUCUCGCUUCACUUUCUUACAGAACACUGGCACGGGUCCAUAUCAGUUUGAAUCGUUUUACGGACAUCGUUCAAGCUUUUCAGAAUGACUCAGAAACUCAGGAAAGGGGUCUUUAGGGAGUUAAACUCCAAAACAUUUCCUGGGUAGCAUCCCCCUGGACACCUCUAGAGAGUCUGAGAAGCUUGCGCCUUCGGCAUUUGAUCCAACAGGGUGAGUCAUCUAAUCUGCCGGGUCCAUGUUAUUUUCAGUUAAAAGCCAUGUAGCCAACCACAGAUACUCGAUGAGGUACUGUGUUAUAAAAACCUAUCGCUAAAAUCUGUCUCAUUUGUAAACGUGAUACAUACCUCUUUCAUGACUGUUCGUUGGAAGCAGAGAUGUUCGAUUGCCUCUAAAAGUAAUUGCCUGCUGUUUUCGCUAUCAAACGAUAAUUCGCUGUUUUCCGGCUCGGUAAUUUGAUGUGUUCUUUUCAAUUUCGGUCUUUAUAAUUAUAAUCAAUAAGUCUCAAAGGCAACCUUGAGUUCUCAUGUGCACAAAAUAAUGUGAAAACGCCGUCACCCAUCCACUAGGCAAACAGUGGGAAGGUAAUAAUAAUUAUCUCAGCUGUCAUAACAGAAUUUUCGGUAGAUCUCUUAGAUCAGAGCGUUGAAAGACGGCCCGGGAGAACAAAGCAUAUGAAUUGUAAAAGAUAACAAACGCAGCAAUCAUUUCGAAAUAAUCAUUAUUGGUCAUUUUUGCCCUAAUACCGCACUAACUACGUAUAAACAGCACCGGUAUGUGGCGCCCUCAGGUUUUUUGAUUUUACUGAUUUGUACACAGCCCCUUUUUAUCUGGUUGGGUAAAUGAAGACGAUCCAGCCUAGGGAAUAUAGUUUUGCAGCGUAAUAAAUAGCAACUUUGAACUUACCGAGUUUCAACUCAGUUGGUUACACUGCAUGAAUGGCAGUUCCUCGUCAGCACUACUCGACAGGAUGGAAUGCACCGAUCAUUCCCUUACGAACGCAGAAAUGCUAAAAAGUUACAAAAUUACAGCGGUAAGCCAAACUUCACUGUGACAAAGGUGGAAACGACAAACGAUAAUCGACAUGUAUCUUCAGCGAAAAAGACAUGUCCAUGGAAACGGAAUUUUGGCGGGAGCGCGCCCUGCUCUUCCUUCCCAUCAUCCCCCACGGUGCAACUUGUCCUUCGUCAAGCCAAGUCACGUUGUGGUGUUUGCGGGAGAGAGAAGCUUUUUUUCUGUUGCGUACAGAGGUGAAACGUUUGAGCAGCUUGCAGCCUACGGGAAAGAAAAUUGCAUUUUACUUUGUACCAGAAAUGCAGUUAAGAAGAGGCACAACUCGAGAUUUAGAGGACAGUACAAGCUAUCAAUCUCUAUCAGUGUAUCAGUUAGUCAGUGAAUUACCCAAAAGUGUUCUGUGAAAAUCAAUGAAGCUGUUGGA
This is a long non-coding RNA of Orbicella faveolata, 2576 nucleotides long. Lineage: Eukaryota; Metazoa; Cnidaria; Anthozoa; Scleractinia; Merulinidae. The record is from RefSeq and is a predicted model, not a curated record.